Neoarius graeffei (lesser salmon catfish) is the source of this 4795-nucleotide long non-coding RNA. RefSeq lists it as uncharacterized. The transcript is spliced from 3 exons. The record is from RefSeq and is a predicted model, not a curated record. Lineage: Eukaryota; Metazoa; Chordata; Actinopteri; Siluriformes; Ariidae.
GGAGGAGAACCUGAAGACGGUGCUGAUGAACCUGACCAGUGCCUCGGUGCAGACUAACAAUGUGGGAACCAAGCAGGCAGACACAGUCUACUUCUUGGCCAUAACACCCCAAUUGGUGACGGAGGUGGUCAAAGCUGAGAGUCCGGAUGGCAUCCUGCUCUCCAUCGGCGGACAAAUGGCACUCAACUGUGAUUUACCAAUUGAAAACAAUUUUACAAAGAUGAGUUUCAGUUCCAACAGUUUUUAUUGGUUAAUUAAUCAACCGGAAGACACCCUUCACCCUUUGAUCUUGUCAUCUGAUGACACAGCUCGUUACCUGAGAUGGAAUUUUUUUUUAGCAUGAUGAGCAAGUUGAGGAAAACCCGGAUGCUAUCAUCACAUGUAAGUAUGGUGGAAAGAUCAUGGACAUUGUUUUUACUUUUCAAAUUCACCGAUAUUUCAUGAUAUCCUUGUCGAAACCUACUUUGUUUCUUACUCUUUCAUUUGACAGUUGGAAUUUUGUAUCUUAUCACACAUUUGAGAAGUCAUGUGGGGUGUUGAUCAUCGUGAUCACUUUCACCGGUGUCCACCAUUAUCGACACCCUGUGGAAUUAAGUGACAUUUACAACUGUUAUGGAUCGAUCUUUGUGUAGCAUUGUUGAAGCAGAUGAAGUACUUUAAAAAAAUAUAAGUGCUGUGAUUUAUCAUAAUUUUUUCCUGAUUCAUAACAGAAUGGAAUGCUUAGAGAGUAUUUGGAAUCCGAUUGAAAUAAAUAGAAUUAGACCAAAAUCAAAUUCCUAGCAUAUAUAUAUUUAUAUAUGUAUUAUAAAUUACAUGCUUGAAAUAUUCAGGUUUUUCUAUUCCAUUUUGAUAUUUUUUUUUGCAGUUUGUUGUAAAUAUCUACCAUAUAUUACAAUAUCAGACAUUUUAUAUUUUUAGAUAUAGAAAUAUAAAGUUUUGGUUCGAGAACUGACAUGCGACCUUUUACCUGGAUUUUCAUGUGGUUAUAAUAUCAAUUGCCUUUUGACAUUCAUUGGUAAACUACAAACCUAGAAAUUAAUGCAAACAACAGUGAGUGAUUUAACAAAAUGUGAUGUACAAAAAUACUUAGAUAGUGGGUAGAAAGUGGAACAAAAAGAUUUUCUGACACAAGUUAAACAUUAGUUCAUUUGUUUACAAACGUUCGGAUUACUUCCUCAUUUACCUAAGCACUGACUUCGAUAUAUUUAUAUAAAACAUAUUUUGGACUUAAUACAAGUCUAUAUAAAAAAAAUAAAUAAAAACUGUUUUGUUAACUUAAUUCCACAUACCAUUUAAAAAAAUCAUUCUCAUCUCGAUGUCAAUAAUUGUGGAAUGGUGUCACAUCAUCUGACAGGCUAAGUAAUCAUGAAUCAACUUAUUUUUUUUCCAGUGUAAGUUUGAGUGAAUAUUCAUGCACAAUUUAUGUAUUGAAAGUCUCUUCUACUUUUGCAAUGGCCAAAAGAUCAUUAAGGUGUCGAUGAUUGUAGCCGCAGCUCUAGAUACUUAAACUUACGACCUACGAUACCCUGUGGUAUGAGUGGUGCUGUUUCAGAUUGGCAUGCUGCAGCAGUACGGUGUGAAGGUUUUGGGCACACCUGUAGAGUCCAUCAUCGCCACAGAGGACAGACAGCUGUUUGCUGACAAGCUGAAGGAGAUCGAUGAGAGGCUCGCCCCCAGUGUGGCUGUGGAGUCGGUUCUGUGGGCCAUUUUGAGGAUCAGGACAGAGGCUCAGUGGUGCGAGCACUGGUCUAGUAAACCAGGGGUUGUGAGUUCAAUCCUCAAUGGGGGCCUGUAAGGGGUAUUUUGAAGGUGGGAAGAUGAUCCAGAUAAAAGAAAGUACAGUAUAUUGAGGACACUGCCCUCUGAAAGUUGCUUGUGAUUUCUCAUCACCUGAAGACCACUUUCUGCUGGUGAGAAUGGCCCCGUCUGGACAGUUUGAUGAUCAGUGAGAUCACUGUGGAUGAGACUGAGGACCUGAAGGUAUCUUUGGUGUGCAAUUUCUGCAAAGCACUUUGCACUCAAGUCUCCAUCAAUGCACAUAGUCAGGUGGUGUUUGUUUAUAUUUGGAGGCUAUUUUGCAAAAUUUACCAAGUCUUGUUUUUGGUAAUAAUAUACAAGUUCAGAUAUAAAUUCAUAAAUCUGGACUUCUUGUAAUGUUUGUAGGCUGCUGUUUCAUAGUUAAUUAUGCAGGGGAUCGUUGUGCAUAAAAAGAGCCCUGAAACCACAUAUAGGAAAUUGGUAUAAAAGUAUUACAUCAUUAAUAUGCAAUUAUUAUAUCCAUAAUAGGUGUCAUUUGUGGCACACAACCUUUUUACUCAGGUCAAAAGCAGGGUUCAUACAUUAGAUACCCAUUUAACCCUAAAAGGGCCUAAACUACUGAGUGGGAUCAGUUAGAACCUCAGAGGUGGUGUGCUGCUCAGUCUAUUCAACUGACAUAACUUUUUGCUUUUCGGAGUUUGUUACUCUAUAGAUUCUUUAUCUAAAAGUAUGUUUGUUUCAAAAUUGAUGAAAAAAAGUGUUUAACAAGGUGACUGAUUUUCUGUUGGGGUCCCAUAACUCUGAGAUUUGUUGCAAAAAUAUUUCAGCAAGUUAGUCGCUUCUUUGUGUGUCUAUCUUUGCCGAUCUGUAUGUUUGCAUGCUUGUCUCAGAUAUCUGCCAUAAUUAAGAAUAUAACUCUUUCUUACAAAUUGUAGAUAACUAGUGAACCUGUUAGUUAUAGAGUUACUGAAAGGUCUGAUGUCUGAUGCUUAUCUGUCCGUGCACUCUCCAUACAGAACAACAGACAGUCCAGCAGAUACAGAGGAAACUGGCAUUGUCUAGUUCUGAAAGUGACAUUGUUUACUUUUGAAAAUAGUCCAGUGGCUGUUCUGGUCCUAAUAUGUGUUACCAAUAACUGCUUUUAUCUUCAUGUUUUGUGCUUGAAUCCUUAGGCAAAGUGUUAUUUCUUGAUGUAGUUUGGACAUUUUAAAAAAAAACUGCUAGAAGCUUAGUAAUAAAUGUAUCACAGAAAUUUCUAAAAUGAGAGAUUGUGAGCUGAGUUCUGGAAUGUAGAUAAGCUAUAAAUAUUCUCAAGUUCUGUAGCAAUAGUGUAAAAUGCUUCUGGCUUUUUUAUGUUCUCUAUGUACUUAAAUGUCUCAUUUUAAAUGUAACUUGAUAAUAUCAUGUAAAUAUAUGAUUUCUAUUCAUAUAAAGUUCAUAAAUGGGUAAUUAAAAAAAAUACAGAUGUUAUAAUGGACUUCAGUGAUACAGAUAUAUGUUUUUUUUAAUGUUUUUACAUGCGAUACUUAGCAUUUCCUUUUUUGGUGAAAAUGGUGAUUGCUGACAUUACAACAAGUAAAAAUAAUUUGUUUGGGAUGUAAAUAAAGGGUUAAUACUGAGAAACCAGACUUAGGAAAUUUUGCAAAGUAGGUUACAUAUGCUCCCUGACUAUAAAGUUGAUACGUCAACAACAAAAAAGACCUUGCUAUGGAAUUUGUCUCACAUACAAAGAUAAUUUAAUUAUAGCCCUGGUUGAACAGAGCAAAAUCAGUAAAGCCAUAGAGAUUUUCUGAAGAAAGCAAAAGUAACAUGAACCUGCUUUCCUCCACACAUCUCAUGCAACCAUCUCAAACGUUGACACUUUAUUUUGGCCUGUUGGUCUAGGGCAGGGGUGGGAAACCUUUUUACUAUCAAGGGCCAUUUUGAGUUUUAUAACAUCCUGUGGGGGCCAAACUAAAUUUUUUAACCCAUAACCUCUGCUGAAAAUUUUAAGAUGCAGCCCAUUUAUUUUAGCUUUCUUUCAUGCUAUUCAAAUAAAGCAACUUUAUUGGUGUAACUUUCUGUUUUAAUCUUCCCAUUUUCUUUUUAAAUUUUAUCCACCUCUUAUUGUUUUAAUGUUCUGUUUUUAGUCUUGUAUUCUUAUUGAUUUUAUAUGUACUGAUGUAAAGCACUUUGAGCAUUUUAUGUAAUGAAGAAGCUACAAUAUAUAAUAUUUUACCAAAUUGUAUUAUUAUAUCUGGCCGACCUAAUGUGAAGGCUGGAACUGUUUCUCUUUGGCGAGGCAUCUGAUGUCAGAUGGUAGAGAUGACGAUGCUACUCGCAGCUGGUUUUCCAGGUUUGGGUCAGUCAGUCUUGAGCGGAACCGAUUCUUUGCAAGGGUCAGUUCUGAGAAGAACUGCUCACAGCAGUAGGCUGUCCCAAACCAUGAUGUAAAGCAGAGGAAGGUUGUUGUACCUAGCUUUGAGCUCAUUGUUGCUUUGCAGCUCAGUGAUUUCGUGCUGUAGGUUGUCAGGCACAUCAGCUGGUUCCACAUUGAAUGGUGUUGCAAAUAAACAAAACAAAACAGGAUACAGAGAACAUACAAACUCACUAUUCAUAAAAUCACACAUGUUGAAAUUUAUGGAUCUGGUCAAAUUCAGAACAGCACAAAUAAUGUACAAAGCAAGAAAUAAUCUAUUGCCGAAAAAUAUACAAGAAAUGUUUAGUGAGAGAGAGGGGGGAUAUAAUCUAAGGGGAGACCUAAAUUUUAAAAAACCAAAGGUUAGAACAAAUAUGAAAAGCAUGUGCGUAUCGAGCUGUGGGGUGACUUUAUGGAACAGACUGGAGACAGAAAUAAAACAAAGUGCAAAUAUAAAUCUGUUUAAAAAAAGGUACAAAAAAUAUUUUUGAAUAAGUAUAUAGAAGAGGAAGUAUGUUAAUGGAGGAUGAUGAGGGAUAAAUAGAAUAGGGUUGAUUGUUAUAUUAGAACUAACUUAGUAUAUGGUAUAUAUUUAUUAAUGGGAUAAAUAUCUUCAUAUUUACAGGGAUAGGUAUGUAG